GAGGCACCCUUAUGAAGCAAGACUUGCUUCAGUGGGGCUUUGGUGUUCACUGAGUCUGCCCCCUGAGUGUGUCCCU
Myotis lucifugus (little brown bat) is the source of this 76-nucleotide non-coding RNA. NCBI's taxonomy places the organism in Eukaryota, Metazoa, Chordata, Mammalia, Chiroptera, Vespertilionidae. The record is from Rfam.